Non-coding RNA from Salmo salar (Atlantic salmon), 1062 nucleotides. Lineage: Eukaryota; Metazoa; Chordata; Actinopteri; Salmoniformes; Salmonidae. The record is from RefSeq and is a predicted model, not a curated record.
UCGUUGUAUAAAUUAUGUCAACUAACGUUUGUUUUUGACAUAAGUGUAUGAAAUUUGAUCAUUUUGAGUAUCCGUAGUCUUGUAUUUACAAGUGUAGUGAGUUAUGUUAGCUAGCUAGAAGUAAGCACACAUUUUUCAGGUUUGCUGCAUAAAGUACCAUUUAACUUUAUGCUAAAAACAAAUGCUGGACAUUUUGUUUUUAUUCUCUACAAAGCUAGCGACGUUACUAGUUAACUUCAAUUAGACGUAUUUUAACAGAUGGCAGGCGCUAGUUAGCUAAAGGUAGCUAGCGAGUAAUAAAAGACUGAAUGCCAUGGCCUGGUCACGCGUCAGGUAAACUUCUUUGGAAUGCAGCCGGUCACUGGGACUGAUUAUGCUGUCGAGCUCGAGACGAGCAGCAAGGACCAUGACAACGACCUCUUGCUGUCACCUGCACAUGAUCGAUCGACUGAUAUAGUUGCUGCUGAGGAAAGUCACUUGCAUUACAAUGUGAAGGAGCUCAUCGCCCCUGUCACUAAGCCAGAGGCCAAUUUGAAGAAGAAGCGAAAGAGAUCAGUGUAGGCGUGGGGGUGGUGCAGGCCCUGGUGAUGCAGAGGGACUCCAGACUCACUCGGGCUCUGGUGCCUGUAGCCAGUCUCCACAUCACGCUGCUGGUGACCCACUUGGCCAGUCAAGAGGAAGUGAACUUGGCAGUGUGUGCAGUGGCCCAGAUGAAGGCAUCGCUGCAGGACCUGCUGCGGGGGCGAGAGCUCAUCCUGCCCUUCCAUAGCAUCGGACACUUCAGGAAGGUGGCGUUUUGUAGAGUUGGCCCAGGGAGAGAACGUUGUCUAACUGGUCCAGAUUGCAGGUCUUGUGAGGAAAACGUUUGAGGAGAAAUGCGUCUCAUCUGGUGACCGCAAAGCCUUCAAGCCUCACCUUAUCUUCAUGAAGCUGUCCAAAACUCCUCAGCUACACAGUCAGGGUUUAAAGAAGCUGUACUCUAACUACGCUCGACACCACUUUGGAAACGAGAGGGUGUUCAGACUGGCCCUCUGCUCAAUGUUGAAGAAAAAGACCCCAGAU